Molecule: long non-coding RNA, 208 nt
Filed under: Cricetulus griseus (Chinese hamster)
Lineage: Eukaryota; Metazoa; Chordata; Mammalia; Rodentia; Cricetidae
Description: lncRNA (ENSCGRG00000024871.1)
Source: RNAcentral
ACACAGUUUUCCUUUCCUAAACAGAUUUUACUUGAUGUCCAUCUAUAUCUGCAGCAACUUCUAUAAUCAAUAAGAAUAAGAACCUGGGCCAAAGAGGUCUCACAUCCCUGCUCCUGGUCUCACAAAUGCCUGCCUACCUCAAGUCAAAUUUCUCUCUCCCAAACACAGAAAAUUCUUUGGGGGCUUGACUUUCUUGCUCUGCACUCUG